Molecule: long non-coding RNA, 1256 nt
Organism: Patella vulgata (common limpet)
Lineage: Eukaryota; Metazoa; Mollusca; Gastropoda; Patellidae
Exons: 9
Source: RefSeq, a predicted model, not a curated record
AAUAAUAAUAUUUAACUCCUCCCUAUGAAAGUAUUGAGUAUGUAAUCAAUAAUAAUAUUUAAUGGUGCGUCGCAAUCAAUAGUCAUCAAUAUAAGAUGUUCCUCUCAACCAAUAGUAAUACUUGGCUCCUCCCAGUGGGCGUGGUAGCCAGGUAUCGUUCUCUUUACAAUCGAUGACUGUUACAACUAGCUUGUGUUUAAAAGGACAGCAGAACACUCACUAGUAGUGUUUAACCUUCAAGUUGCAAUAUGUAUACUUAUUUAAGUCUGGUGUAUCUUGCGGUGGCUCUUACAUUUUCAAGUUGUACGGCACACAGAGAAAGAUGGUGGAACUUGCCGAGACCUGAAAUUAACCUGAGAAGUUUACACUGUGAUAAAGUUGAACAAUUUGAUCUCUGUCGCUGUUGUCCAGUAGAUCCAUGCGAUGGUGUAGAAUGUUUGAACGGGGGGAACUGUGUAGGUGAAGGUGUUUGUAAUUGUACCUUUGGUUUCGGUGGAGCUACUUGUAAAAUGAGAGUAUGUCACAUGACCGAGUGUAGAGAAAGAGGUGGAAUUUGUAUUGAUAUAGCAUGUAUGACCAAUGCCACAAAUUGUGGAGGCAAACGAUGUAAUGAAAUUAACGGCGAAGUUUGUAUUGAUGAUACGUGUGUAGUCAAAGCUGACAAUUGUGGUUCAAUAAAUCCAGGCGUGUUUAACUCAUGUACAGCUAUUGGUUCACCAUGUGGGGAAGGUACAUUCUGUAGUGCUACUUAUAAAGGUACUAAAUGUGUAAAUGACACAUGCAGGAUUGUAGAUAAAUGUGAUGAGCAGAUUGAUGAUACAGCUUGUACCGUCAUCAACAUCAAUAGUGGCACUUGUUCAGGUGGUGUUUGUCUAGAAUCAUGUGAUGAAAACAAGGUUUGUGAAGAUGGUUUGCCAUGUAUUGAUGGAUUCUGUGCAGAACCUAAAUGUGGAGAAUCAUAUUGUGAGCCGUGAUUGAUCAACCACUGGUAUAUAAGGGUCAAUAAACUAUAUUGUAAUAUUUAAAACCUAUUAUAAGAUUUAACAUAAUAAACUAUAUUGUAAUAUUUAAAACCUGUUAUAAGAUUUAACAUAAUAAACUAUAUUGUUAUAUUUAACUACUUCUUUAAAAUAAUUAAAUGCUAUUUUGUUCUUUCUUUAUAAAUUAUAUUCAUCUAAACCAAGAAAUACAAUAAAUUCAUCUGUACUUCUUCAUAAAAACCCAGAUAAACCAACAAGUACAAGAUAUUAAAAUGU